AAAUCAUUACGUUUACUGCAUGUUUUUUUUGCCAAUUAAGAUUCAAGAGUCAUUCAAUAACAAAAUAAAGAAGGAGGAUUAAAAUUUUGCUAUGAUCCAGAAGUCAGCUAUUUUAUCAAUACAUAAGGAUAUUUAAUUUUGAAAUUUCUCUCAUGAAGAACUUUAUUUUCGAACGUUGAAUAAAAAAACAAGAAGAAUAAAGGAUACAGGAUGUUGAAGAAAAAAGCGGCUGACUGAAUGUUGACUUUACUACUUUCAGUGUAUAAAAGGGAAGGAUCCAUGAGCAACGCUGCAACAUUUUUCGACGUAUUCAAUUUGUG
Molecule: long non-coding RNA, 320 nt
Organism: Leptopilina heterotoma
Lineage: Eukaryota; Metazoa; Arthropoda; Insecta; Hymenoptera; Figitidae
Exons: 3
Source: RefSeq, a predicted model, not a curated record